RNAcentral lists this ribosomal RNA (439 nucleotides) under uncultured bacterium. Its description in RNAcentral is "bacterial SSU rRNA". It matches the Rfam family "Bacterial small subunit ribosomal RNA", at positions 8 to 493 of the family's 1533-position model. The record is from RNAcentral.
AGAGUUUGAUCCUGGCUCAGAGCGAACGCUGGCGGCAGGCCUAACACAUGCAAGUCGAACGAACUCUUCGGAGUUAGUGGCGGACGGGUGAGUAACACGUGGGAACGUGCCUUUAGGUUCGGAAUAACUCAGGGAAACUUGUGCUAAUACCGAAUGUGCCCUUCGGGGGAAAGAUUUAUCGCCUUUAGAGCGGCCCGCGUCUGAUUAGCUAGUUGGUGAGGUAAAGGCUCACCAAGGCGACGAUCAGUAGCUGGUCUGAGAGGAUGAUCAGCCACAUUGGGACUGAGACACGGCCCAAACUCCUACGGGAGGCAGCAGUGGGGAAUCUUGCGCAAUGGGCGAAAGCCUGACGCAGCCAUGCCGCGUGAAUGAUGAAGGUCUUAGGAUUGUAAAAUUCUUUCACCGGGGACGAUAAUGACGGUACCCGGAGAAGAAGCCC